Daphnia pulicaria is the source of this 436-nucleotide long non-coding RNA. RefSeq lists it as uncharacterized. The record is from RefSeq and is a predicted model, not a curated record. NCBI's taxonomy places the organism in Eukaryota, Metazoa, Arthropoda, Branchiopoda, Diplostraca, Daphniidae. The transcript is spliced from 3 exons.
AAACAAACAAAUUAAUUUUUUUUUAAGUAUCGGGAUUCGCUGAUUCUGGGUAUUCCCUUUUAAUUUAUCAGUUGUUAUUUUACAGACGUCUCGUUUAUAUCCAGAAUUGAACAUCUUUUUUUCAGCCGUACGAAACAAGGGAAAGAAGGAGUUAGACCGCAGCUGUACAAACUCGCGUGGUGAUUUCAUGGAAUACCAAACUGCUGAAGUAGGAAAUACUGAGAAGACGCUAGUAAUCAAUCACCAAAUGGUCAUCGAGAAAAUUAAACUCUAAGACAAGGAUCAGCAGAAAUGGAAGUGAAUUAUAAACAGAAUUAUGACAUUCUCUGUCUUCAUUGAUCAAGAGAAUAGAUGUAACGUUCUGUUGACUAUUGCCUUCAAAAUAUAGAUGUUAAAUCAAUUAUUCAAAUAUAUAUUUAGUUUAGAUGACAGCUAC